Molecule: unclassified non-coding RNA, 192 nt
Filed under: uncultured fungus
Lineage: Eukaryota; Fungi
Description: sequence contains ITS1
Source: RNAcentral
UUAACUAUUAUGUAGUACUCAGACGACAAAAUUAUGAGUGUUGAGGUCCUCUGGCAGGCACGGACUAGCAAAAGCCAGUAGUCAUUAGACGGGCCUGCCAAAGCAACAAAGGUAUUGUAAACAAAGGGUGGGAGAUACACCUCAAAGGGCACAUUCUCUGUAAUGAUCCUUCCGCAGGUUCACCUACGGAAA